Molecule: unclassified non-coding RNA, 259 nt
Filed under: plant metagenome
Description: partial contains small subunit ribosomal RNA, internal transcribed spacer 1, and 5.8S ribosomal RNA
Rfam family: Eukaryotic small subunit ribosomal RNA (bases 1-54)
Source: RNAcentral
GGAAGUAUAAGUCGUAACAAGGUCUCCGUUGGUGAACCAGCGGAGGGAUCAUUACCGAGUUUACAACUCCCAAACCCCAUGUGAACCUUACCAAACGUUGCUUCGGCGGGAUGCCCCGGGCGCGGGCCGCAAGGCCUCAGCCCCGGAACCAGGCGCCCGCCGGAGGCCCAAACCAAACUCUUGUUUUUGUAGAAUCUUCUGAGUGGCCUUUUAGGCAAAAAAUGAAUCAAAACUUUCAACAACGGAUCUCUUGGUUCUG